ACGAUUUCCAAAUGUAUCUCUGCUGAAAAGAUAAGUGUAGGAUCCGUGAGGCUCCCGCCCGCGUGUUGGCGAGCCAGUCUCUCUAGGGAGAAGCCAGAGGAGUAUCAGCGAAGGAUCAUGGGAGAUAGAGUCCAAAUCGAGGCAUGCUACAGAAAUGAACUGGUCAGAGCUGCACAGAGCACUGCUGUUUUCCAGAAACCUACAGUGGGUGAGUGACCCGACAUAAAACAACAUACUGCGUUCUAUAUAGUCCACUGUAUAUCUGUUAGAUAGGGUUUAGCGCUUUUAAGUUACAA
Molecule: long non-coding RNA, 296 nt
Filed under: Oncorhynchus mykiss (rainbow trout)
Lineage: Eukaryota; Metazoa; Chordata; Actinopteri; Salmoniformes; Salmonidae
Description: lncRNA (ENSOMYG00000054075.1)
Source: RNAcentral